UCUCUGAAGAGAGACUUCAAUGACGUCAAGAGGUGAAAUACUAAAAGCGGUAAUGAUCGUUCGGAUUUUCCGUUUUACGAUGAAAAGGUAAGCCUCCUUGACGAGAGGCCGUCAGCUUUAUCGCUAGAACGCGGUGUAGAUUCUACACCAUGUGGAGAAGAAUCUUCAGAAACUGACACAGGAACCGAAACUUCAACAUGAGAACCGCAACAUGAGGUUGCAUUUACAAUUUCUCCAGAUGACUCGCCGAAUUUUACGGUGUCUGCAACCAGCAGACGAGCAAAAAGUUGUCAGAAGAAUUUGAGAAAGACAGACAGUGCACAAAGCAGCUGUUGGAGAAUAUCCAAAGUAGGCAUGUGGAAGAGACAAAACAAUUAGUAAACUCAUUUUAAGUGGCCUUCACGCCAUUAGUGGGCAGAACACUCAACUCCACUUCAUGCUCUAACAGCAAACACCACAGUUCUUUCCACAGACUGGUUUUUUCCAUCCAACCACCCCUUCUCCAACUCUAUCCCCUUCCUGAUCCACCUCCGCUGCCCCAUCCAUCUCCAGUUACAGACAGUGAGCUUUUUGUACACUGUAAAUUGAA
This is a long non-coding RNA of Schistocerca serialis cubense, 589 nucleotides long. RefSeq lists it as uncharacterized. The record is from RefSeq and is a predicted model, not a curated record. The transcript has 3 exons. Lineage: Eukaryota; Metazoa; Arthropoda; Insecta; Orthoptera; Acrididae.